Molecule: long non-coding RNA, 1836 nt
Organism: Hypanus sabinus (Atlantic stingray)
Lineage: Eukaryota; Metazoa; Chordata; Chondrichthyes; Myliobatiformes; Dasyatidae
Exons: 4
Source: RefSeq, a predicted model, not a curated record
UGAAAGCUACUUUCACAUACUUUUCCCAAUACAUAAUAUGGAUUGUUUUUCUCAAUAAGUAUAACUUUUAUGUUAUUUAUUUAAUUGGGUUCUCUAUCUAGUUUUAGGACUUGCAUGAAAAUCUGAUCACAUUUUAGGUCCUAUUUAUGCAGGAAGAAAAUUCUACAGGGUGCAUACUAACGUGUUAAACUGGCUUGCAGUUUCUCAAAUUCUUUUUGAAAAAGGGAAUACAUUGAUUGUUUUCUAAUGAGCAUUCAAGUUAGUAUGGUUUUAUAGACUCAUAGCUAGUUUGCAAACAAAUUCCUACAAGCAACAGAAUGAAAAUGAUUUUACCUUUUAUUGGCCAAGAACACUCCCAGCAUGAUAUUAUGCCUUAAAGCUAUUUUAGACUAUUUAAAAUGCAGUAACAAACCAGUCUUUAAAAAUCAGGAUAGUGCAGCCUGCACAACAGAAUGGAAUAUUACUGUAGGUAAAGUAAUUCCUCACCAAAUAUUUUGGUGCCACCAAAAACUUAUGUAAUUUAAUCAGGAAUCCAUGAACUAUACGGAUAAAACCAAUGCAUUUUACCCAAUCUUUGCUUAACAAAAUUUCACUUCAAAUGUUUUCCAAAAACCAAGCUCUUUUUGUGCAUCUAGGAGAGGUGGUGUUUAUCCUUUCAAGCUUGAGGUGCCACAUUUAAGACGUCUCGAGGGAAUGGGAACAUGUUCAGCCUUCAGGACAAAUUUAAAUUUUGGAAGGCAACUUCUGUUUGCCAUUUACAAGAUUGUCCAGGAACGUUGCAAUUACGGAGUUCUCUACCUCAGAAGGUAUGGAUAUUCAGAUCGUGAGAAUAUUCAAAAUUGAUCGAUGAACGAGUGAACAUUAAGGGAAUAUGGCAAUCAAUCAGGUGGGGAAGUGGAAGAGGCACAUGAUCAACCACGACUUUGCUUCUUUGAUAGUACAGACUGGAGGGCAUAGGCAGUACUCUUCCUUCUGUUAAUGUAAAAUUCUACAGCCUGCAAAUAUGAAACUAAAAUGCUGGAAUGACACAUCUAUCUGUAGAAAGUUAGAGUUAACAUUUCUAAAACUCAGCAUUAAUCUAAAAUGUUGCUUCCUCACAGAUUAUGUUUUCAGCAGUUUCUGUUUCCAAUUUAUGUUGUGAAUAUAAGCAGUGGAUAAUUAUUAAUGUGAAUUGUACCUUGGGGCAUUUUGCAUUCCAGGACAAUAUUCUUUGCCAAAUGAGAACAAGGAGGAAUUAGUGGUCCAACAACGGUUAGCUGAAAUACUGCAUGCCAUAUAAUCCACAAAGCUACAACUCUUAACUUACAGGGCUGAAGACAGGUCGCAUUUGGGAAUGAACAACAGCAAAUCAAUUGAAGUCAUUUUUGGAAGUGGAACAUUAAAAACUUCCCCAGAAUGAUACAAUAUGGAACAGGCCCUUCCAGCCUAGCAUGCAAAGCUACCCAGCGAAUGUAAGGAAAGAGUUAAUUGGGAUAACCGCUUGAAAGGACAUGCUGAAAGGAAAUUGUAGUUGAAGACAAAAUGGUGUCAUCUUGGAAUAUGGUGACAGCCUGGAGAUUCUGGAGGUGUGCACAACUGUACAUCCCUGAGAUUUGAUAAUGAGGUCUUCUUCCUGUCAGACCUUUCCUAAAUUAUGUGCCUGUGCUGAAGGUUGUAAGAGACGGUGUGGGGGGGGGGGGGGGGGUGGAGGUGAGAAGAGUUAGGAGUACAUCAAGUCAGAGAUGUGUGAGAAAGGUUGUCUGAACUGUGGGUCUCCUUCAGCAUUGUAUAGAGCUGCUUAUUAAGUAUUAUUUACUGUACUACUACAUCAAUAAUCAUUUGUUUCUCUUUCUGUAU